GAGCGGUGACGAACUUUGUGCGUUAUGCGGUGAUUUGGGUCUCCGCACUCGUCUGACCAAAGGCGAUUCAAUUGCACAUCUGAGCUC
This is a non-coding RNA of Capsicum annuum, 87 nucleotides long. Lineage: Eukaryota; Viridiplantae; Streptophyta; Magnoliopsida; Solanales; Solanaceae. The record is from Rfam.